RNA transcript from Myotis myotis, 2780 nucleotides. It is a transcript of the gene named RPA interacting protein, with no coding region annotated. The record is from RefSeq and is a predicted model, not a curated record. NCBI's taxonomy places the organism in Eukaryota, Metazoa, Chordata, Mammalia, Chiroptera, Vespertilionidae. The transcript has 5 exons.
CCCCCUCAUCCCAAUUGCUCAGCCCGCCGCUGAGCGCAGCCAAUCCGCGGCCGGCCGCCCACUGCUUCGGCGAAUCAGCGAGCAGGCAGCCCGGAAGCACGAGGCUAGGCUAAUAAAGCGAGGCCAGCCUAUCAGGCAGCGGCAGCGCUAGUGGAUAGCCAAUCGCCAGUCACGCCCCAGGGGGCGGAACGAGAAAGUCGACCGGCCAGUGCCGGUUUCAAGUUUUGGGGCCGCGGAAAAGUCUAGAACCUGAGAGAGAAUCUGACUCCUGUGAAUCUCACUGCUUAUUGGACACCUCCACCUGGGUAAACCUAGAUAUUCAAAGCUUUUCGUCGAGACUUAACUUCCUCAAUCCAGGUGGGUUAAUCUCACGGCUGUCACUCCCGCAAUUACCCAUCCUUCGUUUGCCCAAAGCUGUCUCCUUCUUGGGACGGCCAGUAGAACACUUCCCAGAAUUCCCUGCCGUGUAGUACGAUCAGCAACCAGAAACUACAACUCCCAGGGUUCUGCGCGCCCGCAGGGGCGGGGCUUUCUGGAGGCUGCUCCCGCGGAGGGGAGAUGGCAGAGCAGUCUGGUUCUCCGCACCGCUCGAUGUACAAAUUGGUGGGCUCGCCUCCGUGGAAAGAGACGUUCAGGCAGGGAUGCCUGGAGAGAAUGAGGAACAGCCGGGACAGGCUCCUGGACAAAUACCGACAGGCUGGAGGCAAUGUGCCAGGGAGGGCUCAGAGCACCCUUCUCGCACAAGAGUUGAUGGAAGAGGAAUGGAAUGCUUGGCACUCGAUGGAAAGCUGCCCAGAGGCCUUGGCUCAGUGGGAGGAGCCGAUGGCCUUGGCUGAGCUGGAGGAAAUCCAACAGGAGCUGAUUGACCAAGCCAAGCAUCCAGAAGUCUCUGCUUUUACUCUGAAGUCUUGACUGGCUGUCUUCCUAGUACUACGAGUCUUAAGUAUGCCAGGUCUUGUGCUCAGACUUCUCAUUCCAUGCUGAUUUUCUCCUGGCACCUACCCUACAAGGCAAUAGGAGACAGACGAGAGUGGCAUCUCACCCAGGCUGAACAGCUAGUGGUGGAGCUGGGAAGUAAUAUCAAUUUUGUGAAUCCGGUUCCCAUGCUUAUUCUAUUAUCCGACAGUACCUCUCUAUUAAUAGAUGGAUAGUAAUCCUGUACCCUGUAGGAUACAGUGCAAGAUCAGCUCUCUUGCACAACUUAAGUGUCUUCUUUCCCAUCCAUUCUUUACUGACUACCCAGGGUCUUGUGAGCAUCUACUCCCUGAGGCAUUCUAGCACCGUACAGUGCACAGUUUAACACCUUACGUAAUUCAUUUAUUCCACAUUGCCCUAGGUUGACGAGGCUCAGUAUUUAUCAUCGGUAAAAUAGAGAUAAUAGGCCUACCCUAUAAGUUUGUGUGUGUGGAAACUUAUGUUUAAUAAUAUGUGUAGAAGACGUAGAGAAGUGUCUGGCAUAUUGAAAGCUUUCAACAAUUGAGGAUGCAAGACCAUGGACUCCUGAGCUUGGCUGCUGAGGUUCACUCCUGAGCUUUACCACUUUAACUGGUACAGCACUGGGCAAAGCACUUAAUCUCCCCAUGCCUCGGUGUCUUCAUCUUUAAGAUAAAGAUGAUAUUAGUGAGUAAGUUAAUAUGUGGAAAGGACUUAAAAUAGCAUUUGACAAAUUGUAAGUGCUAUGCAAGUGUUAGUUGUUAUGAUUAGUAUUGAUUCCAGUUAGACCAUAGAUUUUUUUAUUGAUUCACCCUUCACCCCCACCUACAAAACCUAUCUUAGUGGUGAAACAUAACAUUCACUAAAUAUUUCUUUUGGGGUAUGUUUAAAAAAUCUGAAGUGAUAAGGAUUCACUGUGUUCUGCCCAUACUCAGUCAGAUGGAACACACUAGAACAGAGAUUGACAAACUUCCUGUGGAGGUCCAGAUAAUAAAUACUUUAGGCUUUGUGGUCCAUGCUUUUUCUGUUGCAACUCCUCAGUUCUGCGGUUGUAGUAUGGAAACAGUCAGACAAUACAUAAACACGUGAGCAUGGCUAUAUUCCAGUUAACUUUAUUUAAAAAACUGAAGUUGGGCUGGAUAUGGCCUGUGGGCUGUGGUUUACUGACCCCUGAGCUCAUCAAGAGCAGGGAGCAGUCUUUUUCACCUUUGCACCCCAUGCCUGCCACAUCCUAGGUAUUGUUGCAUACUUGCUGAACGAAUGAACAUAGAACGAAUGAACAUAGAUUCUGAACAACACAGACUCUGAACAUAGGGACAUUGGGGGACAGAUCACUGGACUCAGCAGGAUGGGCUGGCAUCAGAAAGAAGUGCCUGUGUCAGCUUUCUCCAGCUGCCCCUGGGACCUGACUGACAGUCUGCAUCUACGCUAUGGCCUCUGGUGAUGUGUGUCCAAGUCCUCUCCUUGUCCCUUAGCCUCACCACUUCACCUCUUUUGCUCACAAAGUGAGGCCAGACAGGAGGGGAGGAAUCCAACAAGAGGAAGCCUGAGGGAAAAGUAACUAUCUAGUGAUGGGUAGCAUGAUUUUACCUGAAUUUUUCUCAGGUGGAUGAAGCUUGUGACGGUGAAGUUAGCACUAAAUAUAGGACAGCUGGGUGCAGCAUGGUGAAGCGCGCCACCUGUCCAUUGCCUUGCAGAACAGUCCAUCAUCAAUGAAUACGAGAAGAGCUUGCAGUUUGAUGAGCAGUGUCUCAGCAUCAUACUGGCUGAGUGGGAAGCAAACUCCCUCAUCUGUCCUGUGUGCAUAAAGUACAACCUGAGAAUAACAAGCGGUGUGGUCAUGUGUC